This is a long non-coding RNA of Rattus norvegicus (Norway rat), 5000 nucleotides long. RefSeq lists it as uncharacterized. NCBI's taxonomy places the organism in Eukaryota, Metazoa, Chordata, Mammalia, Rodentia, Muridae. The record is from RefSeq and is a predicted model, not a curated record.
UACUAAAUAUAGAUUUAUUGCGGCUUGGUAAACUUUAAAACCAUCAAUCAAUUAAAUAUUGAUUGCCAGGAUAAAAUAGUCCAAAAGCAUCCAAGCUGCCAAGAGGCUGUGCAUCUCCCGUGACAGACAGAGUUACCCUUUGGGUUUGACUGACGCCCACAUCCGUCCAUGCACAGCGACAGCUUCCCCAAAGCCAUUAACUGCUCUGUGCCUUCUCUUGUGGCACAGUGGAGUCUCGGUCUCUACCCCAACAUCUCCCUGCGGCCACUGAAGUCCUCGCUGGAUUUUGCAAAUUUCCUGUCAACUAAGAAGGGAGGCAGCAAACCUGACUACCAGCUGCACAAGGAAGUGAGCAGGCGUCCAGGAGCCCUUCUGAGAGGCUCGAAGACUUUGCCAGACUCUGCCUUUCUUCUCCCCUUGCCCCAGCCCUUCCUCAGCCUCUCCCUUUCAUGUGAGAAGAGAGGCUCACCGCAGAGGUCUCACUUUCCCACCACACUACAGCUUCUCUUGGUCAGAGUAUUCAGACUCAAAGAAAAGCUCUCACCUUUCCCCAAGAGAUCCUGCUGCUCCCUCCUACUGGCCAGGCCCUUGGCUAGUUGACUGUAAAAAUAGCCUAGAAAAAUACCUUUGAUAAGAUAUUCUAGAGGUCAGGUAAACUGUCCCCUGAUCCUGUACUAUUGCCACCAGCAAGUGACCUCCUAGCUGUCAGUGUUCCCUCUGUGGACCACCUGGUAUGUCACAAAGGUUAGAGAUCGUCCCAGACUUAGAAGCCUCUUUCUAACAAUGAGCCCAAUUGACAGCAGCAUGGGGAGGGCCACCUGUGCCUGUCCCCAACUUCAUCAUCAAAAGAGGAGAGCAAGAGCCCCCAGCUCAUCCUCCAAGGUCCAGCAUGGGAUUGGCACUUAUGGCACGAGCUGACAAGUGGCUUCAGAUGUGGCAAUGGCUCCUCUGGCCACUGUGGGUAUAGUCCACACUGACACCACUGUCAUCUUUGGCUCUGGAUUUCACUCUGCUAAAUACUAUGCCAGGUAAAAAGGAACGGUGUGCCCCACCCUAGCCCUUUGCACAGUCUGUAUGCACCUUAGGACUAAGGAGGAAGAAAUGGACAUUUUGACAUCUGAAAGGUUUGAUUUCUCAGUCUCUUCCAAUAGAGGGACUUCUGUGCCACUGUUCACCAUUGUCCUUACACAGGAGUGGUCUGCUCACUUGGGCUGCCCUACAGAACAGUUAAGGUAGCCAGAUAUCCAGACAGCUUCUCCUGUGCUCAGCUCUCAGUGAGUCCUCCAAGCCUUCCCCUCCAUCCUCAGCGCGUCUCUCCAGACAACUCCCUGAUGUGCAAACAAAGAAAGACGUUCACCUGGGCAACUAGAAAACCUCAAGCAUUCCUUGAAGACUCUUUGCUAAGGCUGACUUUAAAUAACUUUGAGAAUGGCAUUGUAAAGUAAUGUAGACAGCUCACUGACACAGAGGGAGGGUGGGUUAGAGACCACGGUGGCUACAGGAUGUGAGCAUGGUGCAAUGUCCUCUGCAUUGUUGCAUUGCCGCUCGAUGGUUGCAGAAUUCCUGGGAAGAUGUAAAGGAUUUGGAAAUCAUUUUUACAAUGGCUGUACAGGGUUGCGAGUGUGGUUAUGAUUAAAAUGGCAAACUUCCUGUCAUUUGAUUUUACCCACAACAAAGAGGCAUUUUCAUCCAGUUCCAUGCAAGGCAUUAUGCAUUCUACAGAAUCAGGGAAAGUAUAAGGACUUUGAUGACGGACACUGACAAGCCUAGCUCCGUGACAAAUGGCGCGUGUCUGUGGGGUCACUGGGCAUCACGAGUGUCAGAGUGCUUGAUAAACAGAAACUGGUAUGCAGCAGCUUACUCUGACUACGAAACUGAAUCUCCAGUCACAAAGAAAGCAGCUCUGGUGGUGCCAGGCACGCCGAUUACUGUGGAUUGUAAAAAGUAAGGCUGUGCCCUUCGAUAGACCUGCCUACCCUCUGUGCACAGCCACACGACUGACUCAAUGUUUCUAGCAUCCAAACCAGAGGGGUGACACUUUAGAUGAUCUCAUUAAAGAGACCCCAGGAAGAAGGUCCAGUCUCACAAAGGGCUUGUGUCCAUUCUCUGGAUAUAGGGCUAAAGCUCCUAGCUACAAGGGUUGGUGUGACAUCAUUGUCAUCCCAAUGCCAAGGCUACCUUCUGAGUAUGAAGUUCACCAUGUGCUGAAAACCUUAAGGGACAUUCUUCCCAUUUGACAAGCUUCUAGCACAUAGUGUAGGGAACAGAGGUGCCUAACACGUAAAGCUGUGUCAUCUUUAGACUGCGGCUAGCACUUCACCAAACUAAGUAUCCCUGGUAGGCAGUGUCCUUAGGCAGGCCAUGGGGACACUCUCUCCAGUACACACUGCCAAAAAGAUGAAGAAACUCUUGGUCACUUACAUUUCCAUGGUAGCUUUUUUUUUCUUUUCAAUAUUAGACUUUGUCUUACACAACUGCAAAUUUCUUCUAACCAAGACAGAAUUCUAAAAUGGGGGAUUCCUUAGCUAGUGAGGUACUUGCCGCACAAGCUUGUGGGCCCAAGUUCAGACCUCAGGCAUGGCAGCACUUGUCUGUAAUCCCGGAACUGAGAAAGCAUAUGCGUGGUCACCCAUGGUCACCCAUGGUCACCUGUGGUCACCCGUGGUGACCCCUGGGGUUUGGGUAGCUGAUCUAAGUGAGUUCCAGGCCAAUGUGAGACCCCUACCUCAACAAAUUAGAUUGAGAGCAAUUGAAGAGGACACCCAUUAUUGAUCUCUGGCGACUACAAUAAUGUACGAGCACACACAUUUACACAUAUACACACUCAAACACUAACUAAUGUGUUUAGUUGCUUUUUUGUUCUGUUUUUUGUUUUUGUUUUUAUUUUGUUUUUCAAGACAGAAUUUCUCUGUGGAGCCCUAGCUGUCCUAAACUCACUCUGUAGACCAGGCUGGCCUCAAACUCACAAAGAUCAGCCUGCCUCUGUCCCCCAAGUAGUGGGGCCACACCCCACAGGUCCCUCCCCUGGCUACAAACUAUUUUUUUUUAUUUAAAAAAAUCUGAAACUUUAGAAAAAGUAUUUUUAAUUGUUUAAAAUGUCUUAGAGAGCAAAUUCAUCUUUGUUUACCCUGAGUCCCCUUUGUGGCCAAAUCAGCACAUCGGGGCAGCUCUUCCCCAGAGCCACGCCCAAGCUCAGAUGGAAACAAUGUGACCACACUAGCCUGCUUCCCCAGGUUCUCACGUAGGUGCCCUCCGGCCCUGGUCACUGCCAGCUACCUGACUUCAUGUGCAUUUCGGUCACAUGUUUACUGGGGCUUAUGAACAGUGUCGCCCUUUUCUCUGUGAAUUAGUCGGAUUUCUAUAAAUUUUAGUGUCUUAGGGUCCUACUGCUGUGAUGAACAGCAUGACCAAGAGCAGCCUGGAGAGCAAAGAGUUCGCUUCAGUUUGCUCUCCUAUACAACUCAGGACAACCACCCCAGCGGUGGCACGAUCCACAAUAGGCUGAGACCUCCCAUAUCAGCUAUCGAUCAAGAUGAUUGACCACAGACUUGCCUUCAGGUCAGUCUGGACGGAGGCAUUUUCUCAAUUUAAGUUCCUCUUCCCAAAUAACUCAAGCUUGUAUGAAGUUAACAAAGAGCUAACCAAGACAUUUAGCUUAGCGUUAAGUACCAGAAUUGAAAUAGUUGAAAUGUUUAUUUUCUUAAUGAGGUUCUCUCUCCAGUCUCUCCUCACACACACAUGUAACAUGUAAACACACACACACGUAAACACAUACCUCCCACACAGGAGAACACACACACAUAAACACACAUACACAUGUAAACACACAUACACACGCCCACACACACACUUGAACACACACAUGUGAACACACAUGGACAUACACAAACACACAUACGCAUGCCCACACACACACGUGAACACACACAUGUGAACACAUGUGAACACACAUGAACACACACACACACGCCCACAUGAACACACCCACUGGCAGUGCCUGGCUUCUGUACAGGUGUUCUAGUGUCCUUCUGAAAGGGCUAAAUACGGUGUUAGAUUUGAACAGCUCUUCUGUCCCCCAGCUUGUCCCUAAAAGUGUAGUCUUGAGUACUACACACACCCUCUGAUGCCUACAUGGGCCUGGAGAAUUCGGAGAAACAGAACAGUCCGGGUUAUAAUUAGCAAACACUUUAGACAAGGAGCUGCGAUUCUGCGCGCCACUUCAGCGAUCCAUUUGUUACCCUGCAGAUGGCCCACAGGGAAAAGUCUAUUUUAGGAGCAUCUGGGUAGGGCCUGAGAGAAGAGGCCACAGGAGCAACCACUGCCUGGAUGGGGCAGGGGUUGAACAAAGGGGAAAAGGGCAGGUCUCCCCAUGGCCAAAUGGUGGUUCUGCUUUAAAGAUCAGAGGCAAGAAAGUGGCAAAUGGCACUGAAAUAAGCUAUGGUGCUCACCUCCGAGGAACAGAACUGGAAUCCAGUGUCCUCAGUCUGUGGAGGUCAAGAUCUACAGUGUUCCCGGGAGCAACGUGGUGGAUAAAGGGAGAAAUGACAAACAACUUGGAAAGCAAGCAAGACUGCAUCCGGCAUGUUUCAGAAUGCUGACACAAAACAAGAAAGAUGGAGAGCAGGGGAAACGGCCAAAGAAGAGACACCAAGGGCAAGAGCAUGUGCUUGAAAUCAAACAACUCAAACUCAGGAAGGCCAGCUUCAGGGAAAAAGUCAAGCCAAGCACCCUAAUUACAGAGAGGCUUGGUGAAGCCAGAUUUCCACACCCAGACCCUAAACACUGCAACUUCACCAUCCAUCUGUCCCAUAGAGAAGACCCUGGAUCCCCCUAUUUCAGGAUAACCAAGUAAGGAUUCAAAAAGUGUAAUGACAGCAAUUCAACUAAAACAGACACUGUCCGAUUACUUCAUACCCCUUAGAACUGCUGCUGCCAAAAAGCAGCCAAGUGUUGGGAAGAUGUGCAGAAUUGGGGGAAAUAAAAUAAUGACUGUAGAACAA